This is a long non-coding RNA of Neltuma alba, 522 nucleotides long. RefSeq lists it as uncharacterized. The transcript has 2 exons. Lineage: Eukaryota; Viridiplantae; Streptophyta; Magnoliopsida; Fabales; Fabaceae. The record is from RefSeq and is a predicted model, not a curated record.
UCUGGUUCAGAUGUUUCUGAUUUUGGCAUAGUAAAAGCUGCUGAAGUAUGCAGGCUUAUUAGAGCUCUGAAUAUUAGCCAGUGCAGCAAAAUUACUGCUAUGGGUGUAUCUGAACUUGUGAAGCAGUGCUCAUUGCUGGAGACAUUAAGAUGCGGUUAUGUACCUUUUCUGUCUUGUAGACAUCUUUAAUGUUCUUCCUUUCUUUGUUUUAUACCACGUUGUUGAAGAAAAGGAAUAUAUCUGAGAGCCAAAAAAGGGCCAGUGUGCGCUUGAAAAUGGGAAAUUCAAUGGGAACUAGACCAAAGCCAGUUGGCAGUUGCAGAUUAGGGCAUUGAGCAAGAUUUAAAGCAUUCACAAAUGAAUGGCCUGCUCAUAUGGCCAAGACUAUAUUCGAGAGAGAGUAAACAUGAGACUUUGAUAUUUUUAGGCAGAAGUUUCUAUUUUUUGAUGAUUUUGUCUUUGCAGUGGAUUUGUAGUAAUCGUGUUUCCUUUGGAUAAAUUCGAGCAUGGAAGAAUUCCUCA